CUACGGGCUGCUCCAGUGGGGAAUAUUGCACAAUGGGCGCAAGCCUGAUGCAGCAACGCCGCGUGAGGGAUGAAGGCCUUCGGGUUGUAAACCUCUUUUAGCAGGGAAGAAGCGAAAGUGACGGUACCUGCAGAAAAAGCACCGGCUAACUACGUGCCAGCAGCCGCGGUAAUACGUAGGGUGCAAGCGUUGUCCGGAAUUAUUGGGCGUAAAGAGCUCGUAGGCGGUUUGUCACGUCUGCUGUGAAAAUCCAAGGCUCAACCUUGGACUUGCAGUGGGUACGGGCAGGCUAGAGUGCGGUAGGGGAGAUGGGAAUUCCUGGUGGAGCGGUGGAAUGCGCAGAUAUCAGGAGGAACACCAAUGGCGAAGGCAAAUCUCUGGGCCGUAACUGACGCUGAGGAGCGAAAGCGUGGGGAGCGAACAGGAUUAGAUACCCCAGUAGUC
This 444-nucleotide ribosomal RNA is filed under the name uncultured bacterium. RNAcentral's name for it is "partial 16S ribosomal RNA". It matches the Rfam family "Bacterial small subunit ribosomal RNA", at positions 339 to 795 of the family's 1533-position model. The record is from RNAcentral.